Puntigrus tetrazona (Sumatra barb) is the source of this 1117-nucleotide long non-coding RNA. RefSeq lists it as uncharacterized. The record is from RefSeq and is a predicted model, not a curated record. The transcript has 2 exons. Lineage: Eukaryota; Metazoa; Chordata; Actinopteri; Cypriniformes; Cyprinidae.
AACAAAUACAAACAAACAAAACACACGUACAUAACACCAAUAACGUUCUUCAGCUGAGAUGAUAACAGUUUGCAUGUAUUUUCUAUGCAGAAGUAUAAAUAAGUCCCACAUUUAGAAAAAAAUAUACACGGAUACAAAAAAAAACCCAUGCAAAUAUAAACUUGCAAAAAUGUACAAAUAUAUUAAACAAAACACUGUAAUUUAAUGCACAUGCAUUUGUACCUUAAAUAUAAAAUAUUCUAUUCAAUAUUUUAAAUAUUCUGCAUAUAUGCACAAAUGCAAUUUCUUCAUCAGUAAAAAAAAAAUACUGUAGUAGGCUUUGUAUUUGCAAUCCAUUUCAGUAAGAAUAUGUAGGACAGGAUCAAAAAAAUUAAAAAACGGUCGCAUUGAAAAUAAACAAGCGUUAUCGAUGAAAUCUCGCGAGACUGGACGAGCAAAACGCGGAAAUGGUCUGCGAUUGUCUCGGCUGCGAUAUUAAAAUUGAAACUAGAUACAGUAGCGCUUUAUUACAUACAGAGACGACGAUAUUUUUCUUCAGUUGAAUUACGUAACGCGAGAUUCACCUUAUGUGUUGGUUUUGUUGAGCCGCUUAGGUGGAUGAAAACGGCUGCAACGGAUAUUUUUAAAUUAUAAAAAAUGUGGAUAGAGAUCUGUGCGCGUUUAGUAACUGCCGAGGACAGAAGAGGCGGACAAGGCGUUGAACGCGGGCAGACAACAAAUUAAGGCCAUGAUCAUCGAAGUUGAGUGAAGACUGGACACGAAGAAACAAAGGCAUUAAUUAGAGUUAUAAAAAAAAAACACUAUAAAAACUCCACAAAUCUCGUAAUUGUCUAAUAUAAAUGUUUAAAAAAAACGCAUCCAAAAAAUUGCAUUGGCCUCGAUGGACAUUUUACACGCAAACGCUUCCCGUUUAAAUCACAUAUAGUAAGUAAAGGAUAAAUAGACUCAAAAAUAUAUUAAUGAGGAAUUUCAUAUAUCCAAAGUGUUUUGUCUGUGUGUGUAUUAUUUGUGGCCAAUGCACGGAAAGAUUAAUUGAGUUUACAGUUGGUGUACACCGAUGUAGUAGUGCUUUCUAUUGUUGUGUUAAAGUAAAAUAAAGAGUAUUCUAUAAACUCUG